GCCUCCAUGGCGCAAUUGGCUAGCGCGUCUGACUGUUAAUCAGGAGGUUGGUGGUUCAAGCCCACCUGGGGGCG
RNAcentral lists this transfer RNA (74 nucleotides) under Absidia repens. It matches the Rfam family "tRNA". From Rfam's summary of the family: Transfer RNA (tRNA) molecules are approximately 80 nucleotides in length. Their secondary structure includes four short double-helical elements and three loops (D, anti-codon, and T loops). Further hydrogen bonds mediate the characteristic L-shaped molecular structure. tRNAs have two regions of fundamental functional importance: the anti-codon, which is responsible for specific mRNA codon recognition, and the 3' end, to which the tRNAs corresponding amino acid is attached (by aminoacyl-tRNA synthetases). tRNAs cope with the degeneracy of the genetic code in two manners: having more than one tRNA (with a specific anti-codon) for a particular amino acid; and 'wobble' base-pairing, i.e. permitting non-standard base-pairing at the 3rd anti-codon position. Lineage: Eukaryota; Fungi; Mucoromycota; Mucoromycetes; Mucorales; Cunninghamellaceae. RNAcentral also lists the same sequence under 1 other name. The record is from Rfam by way of RNAcentral.